CAUGUCCCUUGAGCGUGUUAAGCUCUCGAAGCCUUGCAACCUCAGCUCGUCUUUUGGCCUGUUCAGCAAUCUCAGACAAUUCUCUAUAGCUGCUCUUUUCAUUGAAAAUACUGGCAGUUUUCUGGUGGUUGAAGCCCAUGCAAGGUCCUCUGAGCAAGAGCCCAUUGAGCUUCUCUCUCUUCUUUACCAUAAUCUUUCUUAGUGGUGAAUGCAGUUUUGUUCUCUAGCAAGUUGAGCCAAGCCUUUCCGCUUAAAACGUAACGA
RNAcentral lists this unclassified non-coding RNA (264 nucleotides) under Hevea brasiliensis (rubber tree). The record is from RNAcentral. Lineage: Eukaryota; Viridiplantae; Streptophyta; Magnoliopsida; Malpighiales; Euphorbiaceae.